This 341-nucleotide ribosomal RNA is filed under the name Philotrypesis sp. Its description in RNAcentral is "eukaryotic LSU rRNA". The record is from RNAcentral. Lineage: Eukaryota; Metazoa; Arthropoda; Insecta; Hymenoptera; Pteromalidae.
CAGACUGCUKGUUAAUAAAGCAAGCGAUAGCCUGAGCGUUCGUCGCUGAAGCGCGUGGUGCGAGUGUGACAUUGCACGCGACCACUCGUCUCUUCUGCGGCGUCGCUCGAAAUGAUACGUGGUUUUCGAACGCAGCGACACGUGUAUCGUACAGACAGACGUACGAGUAACGCCCGUCGAGUCCCGGAGCUCUCGCGCUUUCGCAUUUGAUNNAAUCGCGCCGGGCGGACCGACGAUAGGUUUGUUGCUCUGGUCUUGAAAACGACUGCACGUUCGUAUGACCAUAAAAAGAAUAUAUAAUCGACGACCUCAGAGCAGGCGAGACUACCCGCUGAAUUUAA